Molecule: non-coding RNA, 22 nt
Filed under: Arabidopsis thaliana (thale cress)
Lineage: Eukaryota; Viridiplantae; Streptophyta; Magnoliopsida; Brassicales; Brassicaceae
Source: RNAcentral
UUGCUGAAAGUCAAUUGCCUAA